Molecule: non-coding RNA, 71 nt
Filed under: Enterococcus sp.
Lineage: Bacteria; Bacillati; Bacillota; Bacilli; Lactobacillales; Enterococcaceae
Also listed under: 1 other name
Description: Fluoride sequence
Rfam family: Fluoride riboswitch aptamer (crcB RNA motif)
Source: RNAcentral
GUCUAUGAGGGCGAUGGUGUUCGCCGAUAAAUAUUUAUUUUGAGGAAUAAAUUGAUGACGCCUACCAAACA